This 309-nucleotide unclassified non-coding RNA is filed under the name plant metagenome. RNAcentral's name for it is "partial contains 5.8S ribosomal RNA, internal transcribed spacer 2, and large subunit ribosomal RNA". The stretch from base 1 to 105 matches the Rfam family "5.8S ribosomal RNA", at positions 50 to 154 of the family's 154-position model. The record is from RNAcentral.
GAAAUGCAAUAAGUAAUGUGAAUUGCAGAAUUCAGUGAAUCAUCGAAUCUUUGAACGCACAUUGCGCCCGCCAGUAUUCUGGCGGGCAUGCCUGUUCGAGCGUCAUUUCAACCAUCAAGCCCCCGGGCUUGUGUUGGGGACCUGCGGCUGCCGCAGGCCCCGAAAACCAGUGGCGGGCUCGCUGUCACACCGGGCGUAGUAGAUUUUUCGUCUCGCCCAGGGCGUGCUGCGGGUUCCGGCCGUUAAAAAGCCUCUCUUUUAACCCAAGGUUGACCUCGGAUCAGGUAGGAAGACCCGCUGAACUUAAGC